RNAcentral lists this ribosomal RNA (423 nucleotides) under uncultured bacterium. RNAcentral describes it as "bacterial SSU rRNA". It matches the Rfam family "Bacterial small subunit ribosomal RNA", at positions 358 to 795 of the family's 1533-position model. The record is from RNAcentral.
GGAAUUUUCCGCAAUGGGCGAAAGCCUGACGCAGCGACGCCGCGUGGGGGAUGACGGCCUUCGGGUUGUAAACCUCUUUUACCACCAACGCAGGGGUUGACGGUAGGUGGGGAAUAAGGACCGGCUAACUACGUGCCAGCAGCCGCGGUAAUACGUAGGGUCCGAGCGUUGUCCGGAAUUAUUGGGCGUAAAGAGCUCGUAGGCGGCGUGUCGCGUCUGCUGUGAAAGACCGGGGCUUAACUCCGGUUCUGCAGUGGAUACGGGCAUGCUAGAGGUAGGUAGGGGAGACUGGAAUUCCUGGUGUAGCGGUGAAAUGCGCAGAUAUCAGGAGGAACACCGGUGGCGAAGGCGGGUCUCUGGGCCUUACCUGACGCUGAGGAGCGAAAGCAUGGGGAGCGAACAGGAUUAGAUACCCCAGUAGUC